UGCUAACCAUGCAGUCGACGCUGACGCACCAGCUUGCUGGUGUGGAUGAGUGGCGAACGGGUGAGUAAUACGUGAGUAACCUGCCCUUGACUCUGGGAUAAGCUCGGGAAACUGGGUCUAAUACUGGAUGCUACAUGUCACCGCAGGGUGGUGUGUGGAAAGGGUUUACUGGUCUUGGAUGGGCUCACGGCCUAUCAGCUUGUUGGUGAGGUAAUGGCUCACCAAGGCGACCACGGGUAGCCGGCCUGAGAGGGUGACCGGCCACACUGGGACUGAGACACGGCCCACACUCCUACGGGAGGCAGCAGUGGGGAAUAUUGCACAAUGGGCGAAAGCCUGAUGCAGCGACCCCGCGUGAGGGAUGACGGCCUUCGGGUUGUAAACCUCUUUCAGCAGGGAAGAAGCCACAAGUGACGGUCCCUGCAAAAAAAGCGCCGGCUAACUACGUGCCAGC
RNAcentral lists this ribosomal RNA (454 nucleotides) under uncultured bacterium. RNAcentral's name for it is "bacterial SSU rRNA". It matches the Rfam family "Bacterial small subunit ribosomal RNA", at positions 45 to 512 of the family's 1533-position model. The record is from RNAcentral.